RNAcentral lists this ribosomal RNA (428 nucleotides) under uncultured bacterium. RNAcentral describes it as "bacterial SSU rRNA". It matches the Rfam family "Bacterial small subunit ribosomal RNA", at positions 340 to 786 of the family's 1533-position model. The record is from RNAcentral.
UACGGGAGGCAGCAGUGGGGAAUAUUGGACAAUGGGCGAAAGCCUGAUCCAGCCAUGCCGCAUGAGUGAAGAAGGCCUUCGGGUUGUAAAGCUCUUUUAGUGAGAAAGAUAAUGACGGUACUCACAGAAGAAGUCCUGGCUAACUCCGUGCCAGCAGCCGCGGUAAUACGGAGAGGGCUAGCGUUAUUCGGAAUUACUGGGCGUAAAGGGCACGCAGGCGGUUAAUUAAGUUGGAUGUGAAAUCCCCGGGCUUAACCUGGGAAUGGCAUUCAAGACUGGUUAGCUAGAGUCUUGUAGAGGGGGUAGAAUUCCAUGUGUAGCGGUGAAAUGCGUAGAGAUGUGGAGGAAUACCGGUGGCGAAGGCGGCCCCUGGACAAAGACUGACGCUCAUGUGCGAAAGCGUGGGGAGCAAACAGGGAUUAGAUACC